UAAUUCUGCAUAUAGAGCAGUGGUCCAGUC
This 30-nucleotide non-coding RNA is filed under the name Mus musculus (house mouse). The record is from RNAcentral. Lineage: Eukaryota; Metazoa; Chordata; Mammalia; Rodentia; Muridae.